RNAcentral lists this unclassified non-coding RNA (412 nucleotides) under fungal sp. RNAcentral's name for it is "partial internal transcribed spacer region". The stretch from base 1 to 46 matches the Rfam family "Eukaryotic small subunit ribosomal RNA", at positions 1786 to 1831 of the family's 1831-position model. Lineage: Eukaryota; Fungi. The record is from RNAcentral.
AAGUCGUAACAAGGUUUCCGUAGGUGAACCUGCGGAAGGAUCAUUAACACGUAUCCAACGUUAAAAACCCCGUGCACCUUAAUCCUGCUCUCCUCACCUUGAUAAGCAAUCUCUGGUAAAUCAUGUCGAACGGUUUGAUUCAGAGACCUCUGGCUUGUGCGAUGACGGCGGAAGCUAAAGGUGUAAUCGAGCGCUAGGUUCAGUGGUUUGGUCUUCCCCUCAAACCACUUCAAUGAAUGUCAGUGUCAUUGAAGUGUGAUGGGGAAGUCGCUUAACGACGCUGUAGGCUCACACGAGCCGGCGUCCAAAUCACCAGGCGCAAGCCUCCCUAAAACCACAUGUCAGCGUAGGCCCUUCUGUCGUGGUUGGGCGUAAAAACGAACAACUGUUAACAAUGGAUAUCUUGGUUCUC